This 250-nucleotide ribosomal RNA is filed under the name uncultured bacterium. Its description in RNAcentral is "partial 16S ribosomal RNA". It matches the Rfam family "Bacterial small subunit ribosomal RNA", at positions 525 to 775 of the family's 1533-position model. The record is from RNAcentral.
ACGUAGGGGGCAAGCGUUAUCCGGAAUUAUUGGGCGUAAAGAGUACGUAGGUGGUUACCUAAGCACGGGGUAUAAGGCAAUGGCUCAACCAUUGUUUGCCUUGUGAACUGGGCUACUUGAGUGCAGGAGAGGAAAGCGGAAUUCCUAGUGUAGCGGUGAAAUGCGUAGAUAUUAGGAGGAACACCAGUGGCGAAGGCGGCUUUCUGGACUGUAACUGACACUGAGGUACGAAAGCGUGGGGAGCAAACAG